This 256-nucleotide ribosomal RNA is filed under the name uncultured bacterium. RNAcentral's name for it is "partial 16S ribosomal RNA". It matches the Rfam family "Bacterial small subunit ribosomal RNA", at positions 524 to 776 of the family's 1533-position model. The record is from RNAcentral.
UACGGAGGGUGCAAACGUUGCUCGGAAUCAUUGGGCGUAAAGCGCACGUAGGCGGCUCGUUAAGUCGGAUGUGAAAGCCCCGGGCUCAACCCGGGAAGUGCAUUCGAAACUGGCGAGCUUGAAUAUGGAAGAGGGUCGCGGAAUUCCCGGUGUAGAGGUGAAAUUCGUAGAUAUACGGGAGGAACACCAGUGGCGAAGGCGGCGACCUGGGCCAAUAUUGACGCUGAGGUGGCGAAAAGCGUGGGGAGCAAACAGG